Molecule: transfer RNA, 87 nt
Filed under: Bacteroidota bacterium
Lineage: Bacteria; Pseudomonadati; Bacteroidota
Also listed under: 2 other names
Description: Bacteroidetes bacterium (activated sludge metagenome) tRNA-Ser
Rfam family: tRNA
About the family: Transfer RNA (tRNA) molecules are approximately 80 nucleotides in length. Their secondary structure includes four short double-helical elements and three loops (D, anti-codon, and T loops).
Source: RNAcentral
GGAAGGGUGCAAGAGUGGUUUAAUUGGCACGCCUGGAAAGCGUGUGUGCGUGAAAGCGUACCGAGGGUUCGAAUCCCUCCCCUUCCG